RNAcentral lists this ribosomal RNA (253 nucleotides) under uncultured bacterium. RNAcentral's name for it is "partial 16S ribosomal RNA". It matches the Rfam family "Bacterial small subunit ribosomal RNA", at positions 524 to 776 of the family's 1533-position model. The record is from RNAcentral.
UACGGAGGGUGCAAGCGUUGCUCGGAAUCACUGGGCGUAAAGGGCGCGUAGGCGGCCUAGCUAGUCAGGUGUGAAAGUCCAGGGCUCAACCCUGGAAGGGCACUGGAAACUGUUAGGCUUGAGUGUGGGAGAGGAGGGGGGAAUUCCCGGUGUAGAGGUGAAAUGCGUAGAUAUUGGGAGGAAUACCGGUGGCGAAGGCGGCGCUCUGGUCGAAAACUGACGCUGAGGCGCGAAAGCGUGGGGAGCAAACAGG